AAUUAACAUUUGGAUCAUCUGAA
Molecule: microRNA, 23 nt
Filed under: Haemonchus contortus (barber pole worm)
Lineage: Eukaryota; Metazoa; Nematoda; Chromadorea; Rhabditida; Trichostrongylidae
Description: hco-miR-5892a
Source: miRBase by way of RNAcentral